AUGGCUAAUGAGGUGAUCCGUCUGCUUGAUCAAGCACGGGAUAAUCGACCCUUAUCGGAAGCUGAGUUCUGGCUUAGAAGCCAAUUGAAGUGGAAAGUUCUGGGGCUGGCAUCAUUGCAGUGCACUAUCGCUAGACAACACUCAAGGAUUCAAUGGUUGAGAGAGGGCGAGGCCAACACUGAAUUCUUCCAAUCUUUCGCUUCGGCAAGGAGAAGGAACGAUCAGAUUUUUAGGCUCAAGGCGGCAAAGGUGGAAGCCACGACAUCGGACGAGAUGGACAUCCUGGCGGUUGGUCACUUUGUUGACCUCCUUGGCACGCCAAGGGUGAGGGAGCACUGCCUUGACUUGCAUGCUCUUGAUCUGCCUAGACUAAAUUUGGAUUCUCUGGAGGGCAAUUUUUCUGCCGACGAUGUGUGGUCGGUGAUCAAAGAGCUCUCGCCUGAUUAA
Molecule: ribosomal RNA, 447 nt
Filed under: Triticum aestivum (bread wheat)
Lineage: Eukaryota; Viridiplantae; Streptophyta; Magnoliopsida; Poales; Poaceae
Description: partial small subunit ribosomal RNA
Source: RNAcentral